Molecule: long non-coding RNA, 817 nt
Organism: Bubalus bubalis (water buffalo)
Lineage: Eukaryota; Metazoa; Chordata; Mammalia; Artiodactyla; Bovidae
Exons: 3
Source: RefSeq, a predicted model, not a curated record
UAUGAGCAUGUUCUAACAAUCUCAAGUUCGCUUCCUUUGGUUAACCACUAGUUUAAACCGUUUUUCCACCUCAUCACAGAUUUACUUGUCACAAAAAUAAUCUGUGAUCUAAACUUAAUGUAAAAGGCAAAGGCUAAGAUGGAAUCUCUGCUGUCUGCACUCUGAGCUUCCACCCAUAUUCUCUCCCCUACCCCAAGUGUGGUGGGACAUGCCUCUAGCCAGUGGAAUAGGCAGUGGUGAGAGGAUUUUGAAAAUUAAUAUAUUGUCCUAAAGCAGUUGACUUGAACUAAUUGAAAAGAUGUCAUCUUGGGAAGGCCUGACUUAAUCAGCUGAAAGCACUUAGAAGAAUGGGACCAUCCUUGAUGAGAAGAGCUGUCUCUUCUCCUCUGGUUUUGAAAAUGUGAGCUGUCACAUUGUAAAAAGGCAACAGAGAGAGCUGUGGAGCAAGGGACUGAGAGGCUCCCAGGAAGGGAGGCAACAGCCAAGAAGAAAACUCUGACAUCAACCUCACAAUGGCAGGAAGCUGAAUUUUCCUAACAACUGCAGAGAUUUUGGAAGAUAAUCUUUCCCAAGCUGAUCCCCUAGGUGAGAAUGCAGUCUGACCAACACCUUCAUUGCACCCUCAUAAGAUCCUGAGGAGAUAAUCCAGGGAGCUGUGUCCAGAUUCCUGAUCAAGAAAUAUAAGAAAAAGUUGCCAAGGGGAGACCUGCUGCCCUGCUGCCUGCUCUACCUUGACUCUGCCUCUCCAAUGGACCAAGAAACAGGUUCAUCUAGUCAAGGCUAUGGUUUUUCCAGUAAUCAAAUAUGAAUGUGACAG